UGUGCACAAAGAUCGGGUUAGCAAAUUUUAGCUGGUUAUAUUUACAGAUUAAAAACAAAAAUGUGAUAAUACUUAAUCCCUUGCUUAAAAAGGACCAAAAAUAAAAAAAUAAUUCCAGUUAGUACUUUCAAGGUGUGAACAGAAAAACAUGAUCAGUGAGUUGUAGAAGUUCAAAGUUCU
This is a long non-coding RNA of Thalassophryne amazonica, 180 nucleotides long. RefSeq lists it as uncharacterized. Lineage: Eukaryota; Metazoa; Chordata; Actinopteri; Batrachoidiformes; Batrachoididae. The transcript has 3 exons. The record is from RefSeq and is a predicted model, not a curated record.